AAUGGGCGCAAGCCUGAUCUAGCCAUGCCGCGUGAGUGAUGAAGGCCUUAGGGUCGUAAAGCUCUUUCGCCUGUGAAGAUAAUGACUGUAGCAGGUAAAGAAACCCCGGCUAACUCCGUGCCAGCAGCCGCGGUAAUACGGAGGGGGUUAGCGUUGUUCGGAAUUACUGGGCGUAAAGCGCGCGUAGGCGGACAUUUAAGUCAGAGGUGAAAUCCCAGGGCUCAACCCUGGAACUGCCUUUGAUACUGGGUGUCUUGAGUUCGAGAGAGGUGAGUGGAAUUCCGAGUGCAGAGGUGAAAUUCGUAGAUAUUCGGAGGAACACCAGUGGCGAAGGCGGCUCACUGGCUCGAUACUGACGCUGAGGUGCGAAAGUGUGGGGAGCAAACAGGAUU
RNAcentral lists this ribosomal RNA (392 nucleotides) under uncultured Gammaproteobacteria bacterium. RNAcentral's name for it is "bacterial SSU rRNA". It matches the Rfam family "Bacterial small subunit ribosomal RNA", at positions 370 to 779 of the family's 1533-position model. Lineage: Bacteria; Pseudomonadati; Pseudomonadota; Gammaproteobacteria. The record is from RNAcentral.